AUGACAUGAAAACAAACAAUCACAAAACUAAUGGGCAAUAUUUAUUAAUUUAUCCACCUGUAAUAUAACAAAGCUAUAGCCAAGAUGACGCUGAAAUAUGAAGACAACACAUAGAUACCAUGGGUCAUGGGUGUACUGCGUGCUAUAGUUAUUUUGUAUAUGGUGGUUUUUAUGGUCAGUUACAUCGCUUUAGUAUCUGCUUUGAUUUAUGUGAGAAGUCUUCUACUCAGGGGCAACACAAUUCCAUUUGAAGAACAAUGUCAAGAUUAAAGGAUAAAAAAGACUGCUAAAAUUUCAUCAUAUUUAUUGCAAAAUUGUAAAGGCACUCAUUAUGGACGGUACAGUUCAUGCUAAUUUAGCAUAAUCAUUUAUUUUUACAAUUACUGCGGAAUGUUUGUAAAAUCAUGAUAAUAAAAUAAUAUGAAUUAUAUAAAA
Plutella xylostella (diamondback moth) is the source of this 435-nucleotide non-coding RNA. Lineage: Eukaryota; Metazoa; Arthropoda; Insecta; Lepidoptera; Plutellidae. The record is from RefSeq and is a predicted model, not a curated record.